GACGAACGCUGGCGGCGUGCCUAAUACAUGCAAGUUGAACGCUAAAGCUUUAACUGGUGCUUGCACCGACCUAAGUUUUUAGAGUAGCGGACGGGUGAGUAACACGUGGGUAACCUACCCAUCAGAGGGGGAUAACACUUGGAAACAGGUGCUAAUACCGCAUAACAGAGAAAACCACAUGGUUUUCUUUUGAAAGGCGCAAUUGCGUCACUGAAGGAUGGACCCGCGGUGCAUUAGCUAGUUGGUGAGGUAACGGCUCACCAAGGCAACGAUGCAUAGCCGACCUGAGAGGGUGAUCGGCCACAUUGGGACUGAGACACGGCCCAAACUCCUACGGGAGGCAGCAGUAGGGAAUCUUCGGCAAUGGACGAAAGUCUGACCGAGCAACGCCGCGUGAGUGAAGAAGGUUUUCGGAUCGUAAAACUCUGUUGUCAGAGAAGAACAAGGAUAAGAGUGGAAAGUUUAUCCCUUGACGGUAUCUGACCAGAAAGCCACGGCUAACUACGUGCCAGCCGCCGCGGUAACAC
This 527-nucleotide ribosomal RNA is filed under the name uncultured bacterium. RNAcentral's name for it is "bacterial SSU rRNA". It matches the Rfam family "Bacterial small subunit ribosomal RNA", at positions 28 to 526 of the family's 1533-position model. The record is from RNAcentral.